This 258-nucleotide ribosomal RNA is filed under the name uncultured bacterium. RNAcentral describes it as "partial 16S ribosomal RNA". It matches the Rfam family "Bacterial small subunit ribosomal RNA", at positions 524 to 776 of the family's 1533-position model. The record is from RNAcentral.
UACGAAGGGUGCAAGGCGUUACUCGGAAUUACUGGGCGUAAAGCGUGCGUAGGUGGUCGUUUAAGUCUGUUGUGAAAGCCCUGGGCUCAACCUGGGAACUGCAGUGGAAACUGGACGGACUAGAGUGUGGUGAGAGGGUAGCGGAAUUCCCGGUGUGAGCAGUGAAAUGCGUAGAGAUCGGGAGGAACAUCCAUGGCGAAGGCAGCUACCUGGACCAACACGUGACACUGAGGCACGAAAGCGUGGGGAGCAAACAGG